GACAGAGGCCUCAAGCGUUAGGCGGAAUCACUGGGCUUAAAGCGUGUGUAGGCGGAUCGUUAAGUGUCUUGUGAAAUCCCACGGCUCAUCCGUGGAACUGCUGGGCAUACUGGCGAUCUUGGGCCAACUAGGGGCAACUGGAACAAGCGGUGGAGCGGUGAAAUGCGUAGAUAUCGCUUGGAACGCCAAAGGUGAAAACAGGUUGCUGGGAAUGUGCCGACGCUGAGACACGAAAGCCAGGGGAGCAAACGGG
This 253-nucleotide ribosomal RNA is filed under the name uncultured bacterium. RNAcentral's name for it is "partial 16S ribosomal RNA". It matches the Rfam family "Bacterial small subunit ribosomal RNA", at positions 524 to 776 of the family's 1533-position model. The record is from RNAcentral.